Molecule: long non-coding RNA, 1697 nt
Organism: Lolium perenne
Lineage: Eukaryota; Viridiplantae; Streptophyta; Magnoliopsida; Poales; Poaceae
Source: RefSeq, a predicted model, not a curated record
GCCCGCUUGCACGACCCGUCGAGGCGAUACAACACAACACUUUGCCCUUUCCUUCCUCAUCAUCUCCCAACCUCGUUCGUGAAACUGAACAUGCUCUCCAACCGUCGCAUCUGGCGGAACCUAGGGCAUCGGCGGCGGACGGAACUGGUAGUGUGAUCCCAUGGUUGGUGAUUUGGUACGAGGAACAAACAUGCUAGGAGAGGCGAGUUGUUCCUCACCGAAGAGAAGAGAGAAGAUGAGUACGGACAGAAAUUUGGCGAUUUUGGUACAAGGGACGACCAACAGAGGAGCUCAGCGACCCAUACACGAGUUUUGGGAGAAGACAGUAUAUGCUUCAAUCCUCUAGCCACGUGCUUUGAAGGCCAACCGCAUGGAAGCACCACUGCGCCCAAUCUCUUCUCCGCCGCCUCCAUCUUGCCUUCGCCUGCUCUCCCUGCGUAAGAAAAGCCUCGGUGCAUUCGCCCGCCUACUCCUUGGACGAUGGAGAUGCUCGAGCGCUGGAUUCGGAGCGGGGGCCUAUGGGUGUCGCCACGCGCCCAGUCGCAUCCCCGAUCCUGCUCGCCAUUCACCUCUAAUGCGAGUUUGGGGGAGGAUGUCAUGAGAAGCGGUUCAUUAAGCAGCUCAAGCCAUGGCCCUUGAUUUUCCUGCUGCUGAAAUCGAAGUACUUCGAUGGCAAACACCGUCCACUCCAUGGUAAUUUCCUAAAAAAAUAGUGGAGCUCGUCAUGGUGGUGACCUGCGUGACCAGUACAAAAAAUAUUUUGUAUCGGACAUGGAGGAGCAGCAGGACCUUGAGUGAGAAACCAGUUUGCAAGAAGGACAUGACUUUUUUUAAGCAGGGGUCAAGUACUGUAGAUUGGAAGACUGCAUUGAGGCUUCCAGUUAAACAAGUACUUGACAGGCUUUGUGUUCGAAGGUUGACAAGGUGAUGGAUGAGUUACUGCCUUACUGGUGAAGCAGCGUAAAUAAAUAAAUCUCAGGUUGCGAAUGUGAUGGAUGAGUUACAGGUGAAGCAGCGAAAAUAAUUUAUCCCUCUUUAUUCUUUCUCCGUCUGGUGAUUCUUUGUUAACUGUUCACCUGAAACUUUCAGACUCCAUGGUUGUAUGCAAUUGUUUUUGUGGGCAAGUGUAUAUUUAACAAUCAUGAGGUUUGUGUCAGAACUCUCUUAUCAUCAAGGUAGAUAAUUUUCUUUGCUCCAUUUCUCACUACUAGAUUUUUUCUUGAACAACUAGAGACACGUGCACUGCUGACUAGACUUUGCAGUAUGCUACACUAAGAAUCCAAGAACAGUAAAAUAAAGCUUUUUUGUAUUUUUUACCAUCAGCAAUAUAUUCUAAAAGGUGACACAUUUCUCAAGCACUUACGGGUAUUUUCUAUGCUGAUGGAAGAGUAGCAUCCUUAGCGGAUGAAAAUCGUGUGUUGUUUCAAUUUUAUGCAAUGUUUACUAUUUCCAAUUUAAUCAAGUGACAGCACAGCAGGAGCGGGUGUAAAGUACAGAGACGGACAAAGAGGCACAUAACAGAAAGGGUGAGAAGAACUAAUGCAGUGAUGGUCGCGGAAUCCAAAGGGGCCUUGUGUGUGAUUAUCAUUGUAAAGGGUGGAUGGAUGACGAGGGUGGUGAUUGUGGCGACACAUUCCAAAACUACACAUUCUCAUCACUCAUUCUGAUCACUUUCUAAGUCCUAUUUUUGUUGCGCA